UGGACAAGAAACCACAAGUGUCUUCAAUCUAUCUUCUAAUGCUCAAUCUGUCCCAGUCAAUACUAAUGAACCCACCGAAGCUCAAUUUGUCCCAUCUAAUCAAGAAUCAAGCCAGAGAGAAGGUGGCAGUGGGAGAAAGCGUAAGCAAAGCCAUGUUGGAUUAGCUCUUGAAAGUUAUGUAGAGUUUAAAAAGAUCCAAAAUACAGAAACACUUGAAACUCUUAAAGAACAUAAGAGGCAAGAGGAUCAAUUUUCUAUUAGCAAGUGUCAGGCUGAAUUGAAAGGAAUGGAUGGAUUAACAGC
Molecule: unclassified non-coding RNA, 303 nt
Filed under: Zea mays
Lineage: Eukaryota; Viridiplantae; Streptophyta; Magnoliopsida; Poales; Poaceae
Description: misc RNA Zm00001eb122790
Source: RNAcentral